This is a long non-coding RNA of Esox lucius (northern pike), 2196 nucleotides long. NCBI's taxonomy places the organism in Eukaryota, Metazoa, Chordata, Actinopteri, Esociformes, Esocidae. The record is from Ensembl.
GAAAACCAUGCAAAAAGAACUGAAAUAUAAUGAAAGAUAUCUUUGAAAGAUAAUGUUCUGUCAUUGCAUUUAACUGUCGAAGGCUGUCAUCAUAGUCAUUUCGACAUGCUAUUUCAAAGUCCAUCUAUAGGUGGGGCUCUUGGUUCAUUUCAAACAUACAGUCUGAUUGAUUAUGUCAGUCAGAAUGUCCGAGGAAGUCUUGCCAAUGUUGGACCUCUGGACGACAGCAGAGGGUCAAAGCAGAUAGAUACCAGAACCAGAGGUCUAUAGGAUCUCUAGAUGAUGAUGUGUGUGCAUGCGGGUGUGUAUGUAUGUAUGUAUGUCCGUAUGAGUCUGUGAGUACGUGUGUGAGGGGGUUUCUGGUGGCUCACUAAUUAGUCAGGCUCAGCACAGAGCCCAUCUUCUCUGGAGACCUCAUUAGCAUGACUGUGACCUUGUGGCGGAAAUCUCCUGUGCUCCGAUCCUCCCCGGAGACAAAGAAUUUACUAGCACCGUUAAUCACUUCUUCAUCUUCGUCAGCACGCUACACCUACUGCACGUCACCACGGCGCGCAUGCACCUGCGUCAGCCUUACAUGUCCAUCUGCUUUUCAUCUCUCAUCUGCGUCAUCAACUUUAAACCUACAGUCUAUACAUUUGAAUGUAACGGUUUAGUGAGCAGCUUCAUAAUCUCCACUUGUGAGGGGAGUGAGAGGGACAGGGACAGAUUCAGAGGCAGGGUAGGGGCCUGGAGAAGAAGGUAAAGGUAGUGUUAAGUGACACAAAGCAAGGGUGAACGCAGCAGAGAAUGAUAGAGGAUGGUUUACUAAUCAAAAUGAAUGUGAAGUAAACCCUAGCCCAACCUCCAGCUGAAUCCCCAGAGAAAUCGGACCGUAUGAUAGAAAAUCCCAGGAGAACCCAUCCACCACCCCAACACACACACACACACACAGAAUAAAGCCAUCCCUCAAAAAACUCAAAAUAAUAUGUCCUGAUAGAAAAAAGAUAUUAUCACCAAAUGUAAGUCUUGUCUGCAGCUACAAUCCUAUCUAGCUUUGUCCUGCAGUGUCGGGUUAAAAGGUCAUGUCACUGUCAGUGUUGUCCCACUGCAUCAAGAUAACCCUUGAACCCCCUGAUAUCACUCUGACAUCUGACCCGGAUCUUGCAGGUCUGCAAGACGAUUAUCGGCUAAACUCACCCAAAACAAGAGAAUUGAAUCGUGAGAUGUUUAAGUUCUAUAAUGACGUUAUGGACUUGGUUGUGAUCUAAACCCGGACCAGUCUACAAAACCUCCUGGCAUUAACACUUCAAACUGUGUACAUGUACAGUAAAUGUCCCUUCGACAAACGUGUGACCAUUAGGUGUCCUGACGCCAGCGGUGUGCGGGUUACUCUGUGCUCCCACAUGGACAACAACGCACCAUGGACUCAUCUUAGGUAUCACCGUAUGUAAGCUUUCUCCAAAACCAUGAGAGACAAAACAAAAUCCAAGGAAUUAAAAUAGAGAUUUCUUUUUUUAAUACAGUAAAUGCAGGCAUGUACACAACUGUGCUGUGAUUGGCUAAGUUUUUUUUUCCCUAUUACGCAAUGUUGUUUUAGGCCCAAUUGAGUGAAUCUAGAUCACAACGACCCAUUACAUACUUUUACGGCCCUGAAAAUGGAUCGCAUGGCCCAAUCUGAAGACAUCUGGUUUCUAGUGUUGUGUUCCUGUCCUGUCCCACUUCCUCCUGUGUGCCUGCCAGGUAGAAAUGCUUUUUCUUCCUAUUUCUAUCUCUCGUUUACCAUGGUUAUGUUCUAUAUCCUGUGGAUCUAUGCAGAAGCCCAUUCCUUUUUUUUUUUUUCUUUUUUUUUUGGUUGUAAAUAUCUUUCCUAGAAUGCUGAACGAUGUAUAACGUGUCUUUGCUUCCGAGGUAUCGUGCAUUUUGAGUUGAUGUCCUGCCUGUCCAUGGCUCGAUUCAGUCAAACCCACAUUGCAGGUGUUUCCGCCACAGUUCUUUCUUUCAGUGUUUUAAAUGAAUUCACAUGCUUGUCUUGGGUACUGUGUGUCAACAUAAAACUACCCAAGGUGACCUUCACAUACAGGUAUGUUUUCGCUUUUUUGAAUCAGUGUGUGGGCACAGGGAAGAUGUUGUAAAUAAAGACACUGCGUGCACGUUGCUGUGGCGGGUUUGAAUGAAUUUGGGCCAUGCUCUUUCUUUCUUUUUUUUUCUUUUUUUUUU